AACGAACGCUGGCGGCAGGCCUAACACAUGCAAGUCGAGCGCGCCCUUCGGGGUGAGCGGCGGACGGGUGAGUAACGCGUGGGAACGUGCCCUUCUCUGCGGAAUAGCCUCGGGAAACUGAGAGUAAUACCGCAUACGCCCUCUGGGGGAAAGAUUUGUCGGAGAAGGAUCGGCCCGCGUUGGAUUAGGUAGUUGGUGGGGUAAUGGCCCACCAAGCCGACGAUCCAUAGCUGGUUUGAGAGGAUGAUCAGACACACUGGGACUGAGACACGGCCCAGCCUCCUACGGGAGGCAGCAGUGGGGAAUCUUAGACAAUGGGGGCAACCCUGAUCUAGCCAGGCCGCGUGAGUGAUGUAGGCCUUAGGGUUGUAAAGCUCUUUCAGCUGGGAAGAUAAUGACGGUACCAGCAGAAGAAGCCCCGGCUAACUCCGUG
Molecule: ribosomal RNA, 433 nt
Filed under: uncultured bacterium
Lineage: Bacteria
Description: partial 16S ribosomal RNA
Rfam family: Bacterial small subunit ribosomal RNA
Source: RNAcentral